CCCCUUGCGGAGGGCGUCUCCUCGAGGAGGAACCAUAGGCCGCCUUUGCCUUCGGGUCUUGUCUCGGACGUUGCUCCAGAUGUGGUAGCAGAUGAAGCCGUAGCAGAUGGCCAAGAUGAGGACGGGCGCCACGAAGAUGCUGCCGGUGAUCCAAGUGACGUAGGCGCGGAGCCCCCAGGGCUUGAUGAAGUGACCCCAGCAGUCGUAGACUCGCGAACCGGUCUCCACCUCGGUGAGCGAGAAGAUGAAGUACUGCGGCAUGCUGAGCACGAAGCUGAGCGCCCAGGCAGUCGCGAUCAUGCAGUGCGAGCGCUUGGCGGGCUGCUGCAGCGUCUUCAGCGGGUGGCACACGGCGAUGUAGCGGUCGGCCGUCAUCACCACCAGCAUGUACGCCGAGGCGAACAUGCCGAAGACCUGCAGGUGCUUCACCACGCGGCACAGGCCGUCCGUCCCGUGGAAGCGAUGUAGACACAAUCUACCCAUGGUCUUGGACAACCCUAAACCAUGAUAUGGAAAUGUGCCUUCUGAAGUACAUACGCUACAGUGUCUGACACUCUACGUAGAAUAUCAUAUUCUUAAUACGUUACAACUCUGCAUUCAUUCAUGUUCUUUAUGUUAACUCGCUGAUGAGGAGCCAGGCAAUGCUAACGCUCCACCAAAUCUGGUGGUGUGUGGGAAAGACUAUGAUGAAUGGCUGAGGGUGAUGGCUAGUUUUCUUUAUGUCUUUAAAAAUGUUGCUGUGCAGAUUUUUGAACAAGCCGUGGGAGUUACUGAUUACUAGAAGACAGUCCUGAAACUCUAUAAUGAUCUGUCUGAGGCCUUCAAGUUUCAGAAAUUAAUUAAAAAUGAGUACAUGUAUUCCUGUACCACCACACAUUGGGGGGACAUGCACACUCGUCGGGGCCAAAAAGCCAUCCUCUGCUGCUAGUUCUUUAGUAACCCCAUCCACCCCAUCUGCUGAUGAACCUUCAGAGGUGUCUCAAUCAAACCAAUCUGCUGAUCCACGGGGUGCUGAUGAACAGUUGGUACCUGUCAUGGACCUUCUACAGAAGUACUUUUCCGUUGUUGAAUCCUGCUAUGGGUUCUCGAUCAGAUAUCUCUGCAGAA
Hemicordylus capensis (graceful crag lizard) is the source of this 1107-nucleotide long non-coding RNA. RefSeq lists it as uncharacterized. NCBI's taxonomy places the organism in Eukaryota, Metazoa, Chordata, Lepidosauria, Squamata, Cordylidae. The transcript has 3 exons. The record is from RefSeq and is a predicted model, not a curated record.